This 207-nucleotide long non-coding RNA is filed under the name Nicotiana benthamiana. RNAcentral describes it as "long non-coding RNA (NBEN_LNC020235)". Lineage: Eukaryota; Viridiplantae; Streptophyta; Magnoliopsida; Solanales; Solanaceae. The record is from RNAcentral.
CAAGGGGUUCACGAUCAUUUAACAAAAAGGGCUAUCAAAGGUGAUGAAAAUGCCAAAACACAGUGGGAAAAGUCGAUGCUCGGUUAUGUAGUAUCUUGUGGCGAUCUAUUGAUUUCAAGUUGAUGCCCUCGUUCCGUCCAUUCCAGACAUGUUAUUUAGUUUGGGAAAAUGCUCGUAAUUUAUACACUAAUGACAUAUAUCGUUUCU